Molecule: ribosomal RNA, 497 nt
Filed under: uncultured bacterium
Lineage: Bacteria
Description: partial 16S ribosomal RNA
Rfam family: Bacterial small subunit ribosomal RNA
Source: RNAcentral
GAUGAACGCUGGCGGCGUGCCUAAUACAUGCAAGUCGAGCGAACAGAUGAGGAGCUUGCUCCUCUGACGUUAGCGGCGGACGGGUGAGUAACACGUGGAUAACCUACCUAUAAGACUGGGAUAACUUCGGGAAACCGGAGCUAAUACCGGAUAAUAUAUUGAACCGCAUGGUUCAAUAGUGAAAGACGGUUUUGCUGUCACUUAUAGAUGGAUCCGCGCCGCAUUAGCUAGUUGGUAAGGUAACGGCUUACCAAGGCAACGAUGCGUAGCCGACCUGAGAGGGGGAUCGGCCACACUGGAACUGAGACACGGUCCAGACUCCUACGGGAGGCAGCAGUAGGGAAUCUUCCGCAAUGGGCGAAAGCCUGACGGAGCAACGCCGCGUGAGAGAUGAAGGUCUUCGGAUCGUAAAACUCUGUUAUUAGGGAAGAACAAAUGUGGAAGUAACUAUGCACGUCUUGACGGUACCUAAUCAGAAAGCCACGGCUAACUACGUG